This 638-nucleotide unclassified non-coding RNA is filed under the name Ixodes scapularis (black-legged tick). RNAcentral's name for it is "uncharacterized LOC120848164, transcript variant X1". Lineage: Eukaryota; Metazoa; Arthropoda; Arachnida; Ixodida; Ixodidae. The record is from RNAcentral.
CCCGUCUCGAAGCAUGGUAGCCUCAACAGACGCUUGCCGCCACACGCGAGGAGAAAGCAGGAGGCCCGAAGUUUGAAUGUGAAGAGGAGGUGCGAAGAGCUGGCCCUCACUUUUUCAAGGCAGCCGCAGAACACUACGAGCCCCGAAUCACUGCCGCGGCUGACUCACGCGGAUGCUGUGCUGCACCCUGCACUGCACAUGGUUCGAAGCACACUUCAGGGGACCAGUGCAUGCCCCUGAUGCAUCGUCACGGUAUGUUUUGUACUGCUUUUCCUAGCGGUGCACUGAGCAGUCCAAUCUUGAAGGGAGCACGCGAGUGCGUAGCCAGUGCUCCAUGCAGCGAGGACCGCAAGCACCCGCGGAAGCUUGGAGCACACGCAGUGACGCCAGCAGCCGUGCACGCUGGCGUCGUCUGCUACUGUACCGUCCUUUCGUUCGGUGCGCAGAAAAAAAAAGGAGUGACCGCUCUGUUAAAAGUCUGAUGGUGAAGGCAUCCUUUACAGAAGCACUGUAUGGCUCUCUGCACGCUAGAAUGGGGGCUGUCGUUGACGCUCGCAGAGGCGUCGCCCACAACUAAGCAGACGACCAAAGUCCUGAGCAGGUGACUAAUCGUUUCAUUGUUCUUUGGUAAGGAAAGG